Taeniopygia guttata (zebra finch) is the source of this 3699-nucleotide non-coding RNA. NCBI's taxonomy places the organism in Eukaryota, Metazoa, Chordata, Aves, Passeriformes, Estrildidae. The record is from RefSeq and is a predicted model, not a curated record.
AUAAAAAGAGGAGAGAAAAAAAAAAAAGGAGAAUAAAAACCGAGGAAAAAAAAAAAAAAAAAGGCGCGCCCCUCCCCCCGGGGGAGUUCAAACGUCGCAACACCCACUCCCGCCGCUGAUUGGGCAGCUCUGGGUGACGUCACAAGGCUCCGCCCCGCCGAUUGGUCCCCGCCGCGGUCCGUCACACCCCGCGCCCGGGCGCGUUUCUUUGUGCGCGGCCGCGGGCGCUCCAGACGGCGCGCACGGAGCCGGCGCGCACGUACGGGCGGGGAGGGGGAAAGCGGGGGAAUCUGUCAAGCUCAGCGGUUUUCUCAAAUCCCUGACCAAAAAAAAAAAAAAAAAUUAAAAAAAAAAAAAAAAAAGCAGCUGCGGCGCAGCCCUGCGCGCCCGCGCUCCCUCCGCGCCCAGAGCCCGCGCAGACAAUAGCGAAUUCCCCCUGCGAAAGCGUGGGAAUCGGGUUAAAAAUACAAAAACAGGAGUUUAAGCGGCGCCGCGUCCCACGGGCAGGGAUAACAGGGAUAACACAGAUAACAGCGCAAGAGAAACUUUGCGGGCUCUGGCGGCUGGCGGCACUUUCUUCUUUUUUUUUUUUUUUUUUUCUCUUCGCAAUUUUUUAUAUUUUUAUGGCUAAAAUCGACUCGCAGCCGUUGGGAAUCGGAAGGGAAAACCCGCCGCAGCCAACCGCCGCCGGCUCUUAGUUUGCAGUUUGGGAGCCCCAGACCUGCGCUGGUGGCGGUGCGGCUCCAUGCGCGGCAGCGCGUUUGAACCUCCUGGCAGCGGCUCUGCUUUCCUGGUUACCUCCUGGUGACCCCUCGGAAGGAGCCCGCCUGCUCCCAGCGGUCUGGAGACCACAGGUUGGAAACCACUGGUUUUGCAUAAACUUGUGUUAUUCGGCGCAGGCUUAGGUCGCGAGGGCUCCUCUUAGCAAAUUGUCGAAGGAUGAUGUGCGCUGCAUAAAUUAAAACAUCAUGUCCCCUUGCCAUGUGAAAGCAUUAUUAAAAGAAGCAUAAUAAGGGAUUUCCACCAUGUUAUCAAGCGUACAAAGAGAACUCCAAAUGGGAGGGAUGGCUGUCAUCGGGGUAGAACAAGCUGGGAUUUUGGAGAGGCUUGAGAAGCGCUUUGAAUAGCCCGUCAGUUGGACAAGGAUCAGCGCUGACAAUAGCCGGGCUAUAUGUGGUAUGGCCUGUUAACAUACAGCAGCAGUCAUUAAAGGCCUGAGGCAGACAACAGGGCUCUCCUGGGCCCUGAGUGAUGUUGGUGGCUUUGGGAGAGCCACUCUGGCUGCCCUGGGAGCAGCUUCACCCCGCUAAAAGCCAGAAGCUCCCUGAAAUCUCCAAUCCUGACCCUUUUCCAUCAAGACCUUAGAGCCAUAGACGGCUUACUCGCAUCCCCAAAAGACCCAAGUUCCAGUGUGGUGGAAGGAAAUCAAUGUCCAGAUGUUUCUCUGUUGUCCCACAACCGACUAUGGAACUAUCUACAAAUCCCAGUAGAAAUGCCACAGAGAAACAGUAGUUUAGUGCUAUGCCCAACCUUGUCCUGCCAUCCGCCAUGAAAUAACAAUAUUCUAAAGCUACCAAAAAUUCUGUAGGGUUAUUCUGUAACACUCUCUCCUGGGAAGAGACUAUUUUGAUUCCACAGGUGCACAAAGAACUGGGCAUAAUAGGGUUUUCCUCCUUAAUUUAAAAGCCCCAGAUCCUGAAAUAGAGUUCCCCAUAGCAGGGAUGUUGGAACUUGAUGAUAUCUGAGAUAUCUUCCAAACCAAGCCAUUCUAUGAUUCUACAAUAAACACCAUGGUUUUGUGAAUGCUAUGUCGUCCUAAAAUAGGAGGGCAGAACUUUCAUCUUCCAGGCUCCAAAUUUCAGGGGGUAGCUUAAAUAAGCAGAGUAGGAUGUUUGAUGGAAAUUCUCACCUUACGCCACUACUGCAUUCACAUAUGUGAAUAAUACUGUGUUUCUAUGCAAUAUUUUCUGUCCAUCGCCAUGAUUCCCAGCAGUAUGAAAGCAUACAUGUUAGACUAUGCAAUUUAGAAUCUAUGAUCCUAAGUGUCAAAGGAAAUUAAGCUGUGAUCCAAUGACCAAGAUCCUGAAAAUAAAAAUUAGUUAUCACAUGUCAGGCAUUUAAACUCUAACAAUCACAUCAAUUUGGGAGUCUGUAGGUAUAUCUAAUUUCUCAAAUAAAGUUAGGAGAACAGAGGGGGAAAACAGAUUCUCACAUUAUUCAUAAAUGUUAGCAGGAUGAUGAAGAAGUACUGCAGUCCCUAUCUGGCAGAUGAAAACUGCUACACCAUUUGGGGUCUAGGCCAUGGGUGCAUCGCCAAAGCCACAUCCAUGUGGGGAAUUAAAGCAGCUGUGCUAAGAGCAAGUGGGAGUAAGCACACUAAAAACUGGUCAAUCUUUGUGUGAAAAGACCUGCUUUGGCCGUGAGCUCCCGGCGGCAUCGCUGCCUGGCACGGCCGCGCGUGGGGCGCUGGCUGCGGCGCCCAGCGCGGCGCAGAAACGCCUGCAGAGCUGUAGUGCAUUUCCACAGGGUCUGGAGUCUAUUGCGAAAUGCGCUGCGGAGGAAAUAACUUCCAGCAGAAGUGUGCAGGCUGCAGAAAGGAAGCAACAGAACGGACAGAGGCGGGAGAGGCAGCGUUUCCCCUUUUGUUUUGCCGUAGAUCUUCUUAUGGGGAGCAAAAGAAGUGGUAGCAUUUUUAAGAUAAAAACCCCUUUGCAAGCAGGGUUUAUUUGAAGAAAUGAAAUAUACCUUGAAGUGAAAGUUCCCUGUGAAAGUGGAUGGAGUUUAAUAAGCUCGCUGUGGUUUACGAGUGGGCUCAAGCAGUGCCCGUUGGGCCAGGCCAGACCGUGGGCCAGCAGGAACCUAAAACUCCCUUCUUACUCCCUUCUUAUGUUGAUGCCACCAUCCAGCUGGAUAAAUCCCCUGUUCACAGUCAGAAAAGAUGCAAAUAUGUACAGUUAUCCUCAGCUAUAUUUUAUUUGUACACAGUCCCGCAGUGUUAUCACUGCUGGAAGCUGAGGGACACCUCUCACAAUGGUACGAAAUCAUUUUCCAGCGAUACGGAGUGAUUACACCAUGCAGAACUGAUACUGCUGGUGUCCUAAAUCCCAUGUUUUAUCAAGCAGUUGGGCAUAAACACUUUGCUCCUAAUCUCGCACACCUCAAUGAAAAUUUCACUUGAUAAAGUUUGCGCAAGAGUGGUAUAAACAUAGUGUGGCAAAUAUUGUUUAUAUACCCAUCCACACCCAUCCACACAGUAUUUAUUUUAGUAUAUUAUAUAUCCAUGUAUUGUCAUAUUUAUUUAUGCAAUCUGUUUCUCAAAAGGAAAGUGAGUCUUUUGUCCCUGCUUUUACAUGAGAACGUUUUAUAUUCAGGGUUUGCUCAGAAUAUAAAGGCUGAGAUUCAAUACAGGGUGUGAAAAAUGAACCUGAGGAAUUGCUGACUGGUCUUUGUAAAGUUUCAGAUAGCACAAACAGUUACGUGACAAAGAAAAGUUAUGUCUAAGAGAAAACAGGAAUAUUAAUACUAAUAUUAAACAUCAACCUAUGCUGCUUGCAAGCAGUGGUGGUCUUUUCACCCUCAUUAACAUGCAUUCCCUGCUGCCCUUCGCUGCAGGCUUUUCUCUGAAGUCUGUAACUUUCACAAUGAGAUGGGCAUUAUUUCCCCAAAUAAAUAAAUAAAUAAAUUCAAAGCAGCAAUCUA